This is an RNA transcript of Loxodonta africana (African savanna elephant), 9917 nucleotides long. It is a transcript of the gene named centrosomal protein 162, with no coding region annotated. Lineage: Eukaryota; Metazoa; Chordata; Mammalia; Proboscidea; Elephantidae. The transcript is spliced from 28 exons. The record is from RefSeq and is a predicted model, not a curated record.
UCACAACGCCCCACACAGACUUUUGCACGUAUAGGAAAUCCAAUAAAUUAAAUUCCUUCAAGAUUUCCAUUUGCAAAGCAGAUAGCACCAAUGAUAAGGGUGGAGAAAGCUGGGAAAAGACGCCAAGUGCGAAAAAUAUCCCUGGUGACGCAACAGGCUGUUGGAACCCACCAGUGACUCUGAGAAAGAAAAGACCUGCUCCUAUAAAGACCACAGCCUAGAAAACCCCACGAGGAAGUUCUACACUGCCCUAGAGGGUCGCAAUAAGUCCUAAGCGACUAGACAGCACGCAAAAACAACGGGGGACUAAAAACUACAUUUCCCAGGAAGCCACUGACUGGGCCUACAACACCCAUCAUGCCUCUGUCCGGGCUUGUCAGUAACCAGUUUGCUGCCAUCCACUGUUCAAAGAAGUGUAGAGAAAGAGAGAACGUAUUGGUGCAGCAACGAUAUUUCCUAUCCACCGGGUAGCCCUGCUGAACCGUGGUUGUUCCAGUUGUUGCUCAUACCCAGACUCAGUGCCGUCGAGUCCAUUAAAGUCCAUUAGAGGGAACAAAAGGUUGCCUGCAGUGCCCACGCGCCACGUGACCAACUCGGGUCAUGUGACUUCGGACCCCAGCGGCUGAAGACUGUUACCCUAGCAACUGCUGGGCCCCUCCUCACUUUCCCGAAAAGCGUCGAAGUCAGAGACACGGGUAAGUGAAGCAUAAAUGCUUGCUACUCACUGGGAUCGCCGUUACCUAGAUCCUGCUUCAUUCCCAGUCCUCUGGGAUUUAAGUUUUCUGGGUCAUUCUCCAACUCCAUCCGGGCUCCACUGCACAUGAAUUUUUGUCUUUCCGCCAACUUCCGAAUCCGCGCUUCCUGGAGCCGGAACCCUGCCGGGCAGCGGAUCCUUUGAGUGGAAUCCUCCUCUGAGCAACCUUUUGCCGCCGACUUUACGGCACGCUCCUGGGACUGAUCGGAAAUACUAGUGAGGGGAAGGAGUUCUGCACGUUGGGCAAGAUAUUGUGUGGGUCCCCCCAUCCUCCACCUCGGAAAUAGAAAGCUGGGGUUCCAGCUCCUUCGAGGAGUCAGAAUCCAGAGCUGGAGCAGAUCUGAAGCUGAGUUCAUUAAGGAGAGUUUCCAAUUUUGAAAAUACUUUGGAAUGUUUACUGUGGGAAGUGGAAAUUAUUGAUUAUGGCUCACUAUUCCAGAGAAGAGCUAGAUGAAGAGUUUGAACAGUUUAUGAAAGAGCUUUCAGAUGAUUCUUUUGAAAAUUCAAACAAAACACCUAGACAGACUAAAAAAGAAGAAAAGAAGAAAGAUACAGUGCCAUGGUGGAUAACUGAAGAUGAUUUUGAAGGUGGUGGACUGCUUGGAACAAAUGUAAGCUAUUUGAAAACAAGGAAGACUUCUCAGCCUAUUAUGGAAAUCGAGGAGGAGUCUGCUGAAAAGAUAGAAUUUCUUAAGAGCAGUGGAACUUCUAUCUUAAGUAUUGACAGCUUAGAAACAAAUGAGCUCGUAGUUUCUGAGCUUAAUCAUAGUAUUCUCGGAUUGGGAUUGGACACGUUAGAAGAACAAGAGGAGAAAGAGCAAUUUUUUGCCAGGCUUGAGACAGGUUUAACAUCUUCCAUUGACUAUUCAAGAUUAAAUAAAGAAUUGGAUUCUAAUGACUCCACUCAUUUUAAAGCUUUACUUAGUAAUCAAGCCAAUAUAGAAUUAACUGAAGAUGGACAUGAGAAUAAAACUGUACAUGAAGAACUGGCAGAAAAUUACAGUGAUGAUUUUGAAGAGGAAGAGGACACUGAUGCACCUUUGGCUACUAAAGAAGAAGAGAGUCAUUCCAAGGAAAAUCCCCAGUCAGAAAAAGUAAAUGUACCCAAACAGGAAGAAGAGAAAACUGGCAUGCUGGCUAAUGUUGUGCUGCUUGAUUCAUUAGACUCCAUUGUAGAUGUCAACCUUGAUGAACAGGAUAAAGCUGCAAGUAAGCCACAGGCCCCACCAGAGAUGACUAAUAAUGAAAUGACAGGAACAGGUAUUUCUUAUGGACAAAGCAAUAGUGACAUUGAAGCCCUACAGCAGGCUUAUCAUCAUAUAGCCCAUUCUUUGGGAGAUACAGACAAACAAAGAUUUGAGAAUAAUGCAGUAGAAAAUACCAAGAACUCCGUGAAAGAUCAUCCUCAAGACAAUGACGAUGAGUCCUCAAAAAACAACUCAACUACUGAAUCUGAUCUGCCCACAGUAGAAGAGCUGAUGAAACCUAUCAGAAUAGAUUCCUUUGGGGUCAGUGGUUUUGAUUUACAACCUGUCAGCUCUAAAAUACUGGCUGAUAAUAAAGAAACUGAAUUUGUUAGCCCUUUACUUAAGACAAACUCAAAUGUUAAGUUUCAAGAGCCACACCACGUGAACCAAUUUUUUGACAAAAAUGAUGAGAAUGUGGUUUUACAAAAGACAGCAAAUGAAGGUAUAGAAAAUAGCUGUCCACGAGUAACUGCUACAGAAGAACACAUAGAUAAAAUGUACCUUGAUGUUUUGAGGAGAAAACUCUCUGUUGAUCCUUCAUUAUUACCUCAGGAUGACAAAAUUAAUAAAACUUUGAUAUCUCAACUCAGUUUUAGAGAAGAAGGGGCUGUAAUUGGUAAAGAGCUGCUGUAUAAGAAGGCUAGAAGUGCACCUCCUUUACUUAAAAGAAAACCCCAGAGUGGAUUAUAUGCAUCAGUUAGGAGCUCAGGCUAUGGCAAACCCAAUUCACCAUCCAAGACGUUUUCUACUCUUGAAAAGAAAACUUCAAAGGACAUUAUGAAGAACAAAAACUUGAGAUCUGUUCCCACCUCAAAUCAAGCUAGGAAAAAGGAAAUCUUAUCUGGAACAAAAGUCAUUAAGCCUGCAGCUUUGGGCACACCAGCUCCCAAAACUGAAAGUUGCCUGGCUGCUACUCCUGAGAAGUCUGAAGAUCCUAUACAAAUUGAUUCCUGUGUUCAGUUUCCGAAUGAUUCCUUAGGAUACUCUGGUGGGAACAAGGAGACAGAAUUACUUAUGUUUAGAAGAGUUCAGGAAGCAGAGGAAAAAUGGAGGGGUGCACAAGUCCUAAUUGAGCAAAUUAAAGUCACAUUCUCAGAUAAAGAAAGAGAGCUGGAAAAUAAGAUGGAAGAACUAAAGAAACAACAGGAAAAAGAACUCUUCAAAUUAAAUCAAGACAAUUAUAUUCUUCAAGCAAAGUUAAGUAGCCUUGAAGAAGCAAACAAAAAACAAAGAUGGCUACAUUUUGGAGAAAUAACUGAUCCUGUCACUGAAGAAAAACUGAAGCAAAUCCAAAAAGAAAUACAGGAACAAGAGACACUUCUUCAAGGAUAUCAACAGGAAAAUGAAAGAUUGUAUAAUCAAGUGAAAGAGCUCCAAGAACAAAACAAGAAAAAUGAGGAGCGAAUGUUCAAGGAAAACCAGAGUUUGUCCAGCGAGUUAGCUUCCUUAAAAGAACAAAUGCAUGAAAGUCGUUUCCUGUCUCGAGUAGUUGAAGACUCAGAGCCCACCAGAAACCAGAGUUUUACAGAACUGUUAGCAGAACUCCGAAUGGCACAGAAAGAAAAAAACAGUUUAUUGGAAGACAUCAAAAUACUGAAGCAAGACAAACAAGCUCUUGAAGUAGACUUGGAAAAGAUGAAAAAAGAGAGAGACCAAGCCAAAGAUCAGAUUGCUUAUGCUACAGGUGAAAAAUUAUAUGAAAUCAAAAUUUUAGAAGAAACACAUAAACAAGAAAUCAGUCGCCUACAAAAGAGGUUACAGUGGUAUGCUGAAAACCAGGAACUUCUAGAUAAAGAUGCCGUUCGGCUUAAAGAAGCAAAUGAAGAAAUCGAGAAGUUCAAACUUGAGAUUGAGAAACUGAAAGCUGAAUCUGGAAAUCCGUCUAUUCAACAGAAGAUACGUUUAAAAGAUAAAGCAGUUGAUGCCAAAAAAAUUCAGGAUCUGGAACGACAAGUUAAGGAAAUGGAAGGAAUUCUAAAGAGAAGAUAUCCCAAUUCUUUACCUGCUUUGAUAUUGGCUGCAUCAGCAGCGGGUGACACAGUGAAUAGAAAUACAGUGGAAUUUAUGGAAAAAAGGAUUAAAAAGCUAGAAGCUGAUCUUGAGGGCAAAGAUGAAGAAGCAAAGAAAAGCCUUCGUACCAUGGAACAACAGUUUCAGAAAAUGAAGAUUCAGUAUGAACAGAGACUAGAGGAACAGGAGCAGCUACUCGCCAACAAAUUGAAGGAAGCAGCCCAGAACCAGCGCGACAACCCCGUGGCUAAAGCACUAGAGAAGGAACUCAGCGACAUUAAGGAAGCCCAUCAGAUCACUGUCAGAAACCUCGAAGCUGAAAUAGACAUGCUUAAACAUCAGAAUGCUGAAUUAGAACUCAAGAAGAAUGAUAAAGAUGAUAAAGAUUUCCAGUCUCUAGAAUUCCAGGUGGAACAGGCUCAUGCUAAAGCUAAGCUGGUAAGACUCAAUGAGGAACUGGCUGCAAAGGCCAGAGAAAUACAAGACCUUUCAAAAACUGUGGAGAGGCUUCAGAAGGAGAGAAGAAUGAUGCUAUCUAAUCAGAACUCUAAGGGUAGAGAGGAAAUGUCCACCAAAAAGGUGAAGAAAGAUGUUUUGCACACAGGUAAAGGAAAUGCUAACUCCUCUGGAACCCUGGAUGACAAGCUCUACCAGCCACACACUUUUACUGAUUCCCAUACAUCAGACGUUUUACAAGAAAACUUCAGAUUGAAAAAUGAACUACAGAGAGUAAUUUUGGAGAGGAAUGAGCUAAAGAUGAAAUCUGAAGCAGCAUCGAAUCAAUUUGAAAACUCCAUGAAAAGGCUCAAGGAAGAUAACACAGCACACAUUGCAUCCCUCAAAGCAUCUCAUCAGAGAGAAGUAGAGAAACUUCUUUGCCAAAAUGCAGUCGAAAAAUCUUCUUCCAAAGUAGCUGAACUAAAUCGUAAAAUAGCAACUCAAGAGGUACUUAUAAAACAUUUCCAAAAUCAAGUUAAUGAGCUACAGGGUAAGCAAGAGUCUCUUGUAGUUUCUCAAGUUCGAGAAGAAAUCCUACAGAAUGAGGUUACAAAACUCCUAGAAGAAUUGAGAGAAGCCAAAGAAAAUCAUACUCCAGAGAUGAAACAUUUCACGGGCUUAGAAAAGAAAAUUAAACAGAUGGAAAUGAGACAUGAACAAAGAGAACAGGAACUUCAGCAGAUAAUACAGCAAACACGCCAAGUAGUAGAAACUGAGCAAAACAAAGAAACUGAGAAAUGGAAAAGACUUGCACAAUUAAAGAAUCGAGAGCUGGACAAGUUUCGCACGGAAUUAGACUCAAUAUUAGAUGUCCUUCGGGAGCUUCACCGACAGGGAGUUGUUUUUCCAGCUGCUGUUUCAGAGGACGCUCAUGCCCCGGACCCGGAGGAUCACUAGGAAGCCUGGUCUCAGAGGCCUCACUGUUCGGCCUGGAGACACACGGGAUGGCGCCACUACCAGGAGCUUUUCAGAAUAAGUAUUCUUUUCUGUUACCAGAAGCAAACAAUAAAAAAACAACGUUUCAAAAUAAAUUACCCUUAACGAAUAAGAGAAAAAAAGUAUCAUGGCAUAUUUUACUGAAAAUCAUUACCCAGUCACAUUUUAAGUAAGUUAUGGACAAGUCCGUUUGUGUCAAAUGAUUAUAACUACUGAGAUUUAUGUAAAACGGCUUACUCAUAAGAAAUGGGAAGAAAAGGAAAUCUCCCACACUGCAUGUCACAUUAUCAUUGACCAAGUAUGUAUUCUGAAUUUUCUUUGUGCCAGAAAAGCGGCUCCUGCUUUUCCUGGAAACGCACAGUGGAAUAUGAGUGCAGUGGCUGGGCGAUCCUGUGGACUGCAGACAGUGUAAAGCUACCUCAGUAAUGUAGAUAAGAAUUCUAAUUUCUGUGCAGGUUAGACAGUGAAUUCUCUUGUUUCUCCCAGUUUUCAAAUCCUUCCUUGAGGGUCUCUUUUUUGCAUCUAUUAUAAGGUGAAAAUGUAUAUCUCACAAAUAAUAAGGGGAUUGAAUUUAUCCAUUCGUUUAAUCUUAAUUUAAAGAUUAAGUGGCAUAUCAUUUAACCUGCAUAUCUUAAAUGGCAAGCCUACCUUUUUGGUACCUUUGAAAAUUAUAAACAGAAUUCAGCAACAUUUUUACUUUCUCUGUUUAAAAUAUAGUAUGUGUCCCUUAGAAGAAUUACAAACAUGUGUAAAAGUAGCUGGAUUGUUAUUUCUUUUACAGUUCCCAUUUCCAAAGGCAGAUAGUAUACAGUACAAAAUUGGGGGGUGUAUCCACUUUGAUUUUAAAUGUUCUAGCCCAGUGCUGUCCAGUAGAAAUCUCAUGUGAGCCACAUAAGUAAUUUUUAAUUUUCUAGUAGCUACAUUUAAAAAGGUAAAAAGAAACAGGUGAGAUUAAUUUAAUAAUGUAUUUUUCGUUAUCUACUGUAUCUAAAAUAUCAAUAUAAAUAUAAAAUUGAAAUUUUUACUAAUCAAUUUUACUUCUUUUAUUCACACUAAGUCAUUGAAAUCUAGAAUAUAGUUUACAUUUACAGCAUCUCAACUUGGACUCAAUUUCAAGUACUCAAUAACCACAUGCCUCUCGGGGUACAUCUAGAUCAAUUGGCGUAACAGAGUUCAUAAAGAAAAUGUUCUAUAUCCUACUUUGGUGAGCAGUGUCUGGAGUUUUAAAAGCUUGCGAGUGGCCAUCUAAGAUACAUGUAUUGGUCCUGUUCCAUCCAGAGCAAAGAAUGAAGAAAACCAAAGACACAAGGAAAAUACUAGCCCAAAAGACUAAAGGCUCACAUGAACCAGAGUCUCCACCAGCCUGAGCCCAGAAGAACUAGAUGGUGCCUGGCCACCACAACCAGCCACUCUGACAGGAAUCACUACAGAGUGUCCCAAACACAGCGGGAGACAAAUGUAACACAAUUCAAAUUCACGAAAAAAGACCAGACUUAUGAUCUGACAGAGACUGGAGAAACCCCUGAGACCAUGGCCCCUGGACGCUCUGCUAACACAGAACUGAAACCACUCCCAAAGCCCACUUUCACACAAAAAUUAGACAGGGCUAUAAAGCAAGCGAUAACACAGCUACAGCCAUCUCCUUGUCCUCUUGAUUGACUACCUACUCGUGAAUUGUUCAUUAUAACCACAAAUAUGGCUGAUUCUAGCACAACUAGAUUAUCACUUACCAAAAAAGUGCAUCCUAUUUUGAUGAAGAUUCAACAUUUUGGGUAAGUUGUGUACAUGGCAGAUCUUCAGUUCUGUUUACAGAUUAAAGAUCCAUAAGUAGUAUCCAAGCUGUUGUUAAACUAAAAACCUCAUAAACCGUACCCCACUCCUUAGUCAUUGCCUUUAGUGUUCAGGAUCAGUAAACACACAGAACAUAGACACCUUUUGGCUGUCUUGCACAAGAAGGCUUUUCUGAAGAUUUCAUAAGGUCUAAAAAUCAUCACCUCUCACCAGUUCCAUCCAGUUCACAGUGCAUUGAGGCAUCUGCAUCCACAGGGCUGCCCUUCAGGAGACUUAUCAGGAUAGACAGUUUGUUGCUGACACCUCUGCGUUGGUGCAGAGGGAUUUCUGAUCUGAUCUGCUUGUGAGCCCAUAGCGUUCUAUGAUAGCUUCUUCUUGUUAGUUGCCAUUGAGUCAGUUCCAAUUCAUGGUGAUCCCAUGUGUGCAGAGUACAGCUGCGCCAUAGAAUUUUCAAGGCUCUUACCCUUCAGAAGCAGACAGCUAGGCCUGUCUUCCUAGGUGCCUUCUGGGUGUGUUCGAACUAGUAGUGUGUUCCAGUCAGUAGUCAAGUGCUUAACUAUUUGUACCACCCAGGGAAUUCACCAUGGGAGCAUCUAUCCAUAAACCCUGAGAGAUCCAGGCUUUAAUAUUGGGGUUCCAUUCCAGAUUACAAAGAUCCUAAAUUUUUAACUUUAUAUACGCAAUAGGGAAAAUAGCUAUUCUUUCCUACCCAUACUUACUAAGGAUUCUGAUUAGGUCCGGGAUCCAUAGGUAUGUUGUUUAACAGAGGUAUUCUUAAAACAAAGACACUGUUCGACUGCUAUCCUGAUUUGAAAAGCUCUUUAGCAAUGAAUAGUGAAGAGAACUGUUUUCCAAUCCUUUCAAGUUCAUUGACAAUUCUAUUUUAGUAUUGAGACCCAUCUGAUUAAUAAUCUUUCCUUUCAGUUUCUAUAGAACAGACUUUAAUCAAAAGCACAUGUAUUCCCCAAUUGGAUCACAAUAGAGGGUCCUAGACAGAGCAGGAGAGAAAUGUAGAACAAAAACUCAAAUUCAUAAAAAAGACCAGACUUACUGGCCUGAUAGAAACUGGAGGAACCGUCAAGCUUAUGGCCCUAAGACACAUGACUUGGAACUGCAGCCGUUCCCGGAAACCACCUUCCAGCCAAGCAAUAGGCCAAUAAAAUAAAAACACUCAAAAAGAACAUGAUCCAUUGAAUAAACAAUUAUAUGAGACCAAAAGGGCAACAUUUGCCCAAAAGUAAAGAUGAGAAGGCAGGAAGGGGUAGGAAAACAAGACAAAAGGAAACAGGGAGCACAGGGCAGAAAUGGGGAGAGUGUUGACACGGUGUGGGGAUUGCAACCAACGUCAUGGAAUACUUUGUGUACAAUUUGUUGAAUGGGAAACUAAUUUGCUCUGUGAACUUUGACCUAAAACACAGUAAAAUAUUUUUUAAAAAAAUGUAUUCCCACCCAACACCUCUCUAGCUUGGAAGAGAUUAAAUCGUAACCCUAAUUAUUUUCUCCUUUCUAGACUAAACCAUGAUAAAUCCAUUUUUCUCUUCCAGGAUUGCUGACGACUAUAUCACAACCACCUAAAUAGUUUUAUAUAAUAGGGAGAAACAGAUACUCUUCUUUCCCACGGAUACCUACUUCAUAGUAUUGUUCUAAGAAUUAAGUUUGUUCAGGGACAGAAUUAAUUGGAGGGGAAGUUUAUUCUUUGGAAAGGAUAGAGGCAUCAGGUUUCAUUAGCAGAAUAAAAUGAGUUGUUAGUAAAUUCAGGAUAAUGAGAAAUGAUCAAGACUGGAGAAGCAAGCUGAAAUUGGAGAGGUUACUGUAGAAGGUACGCAUUCUUGGGGCACAAACCACAAGAACCAAGAACACAGUAGAAAUGUGACCAAGUGGAGUAAGUCUCAGGAAAGCUUGCCUGGCACGAAUACCUUAGGGUGUUGGUAUUAUAACAAGAAAAUCCUUAAGAAGAUGCAGUGGACAGAGAAAAAGAUGUAGAAAUACAUGUGUUCUAUGAAACUCCUUGGAGGAGAGAGUCUGGAAAGGAUUUUGGGGAGGGAUUUGUGAGCUAGACAGAAGUGAAGUUGAGGUAAAGAAUUUAUAACAGGGUUAAAUUGUGGGGAAAAAACUGAGUAGAAUGAUGCAUCUUGUGUUUUCCAUCCACUGGCUCCAGCCAAAGUCAGUGUUAACCAUACAAUUGCAUAUCCUUGCCUUCUUAUCUCUUCUGCUUGUUACCAUGACUGCAUAGAAAGAGCCUUAGUCAGGAAAAGCUGAUGCUCAUUCCCCUGAUUUGAGAUCGAAACACUCACAGCAGCACAGUUCCUCACACUUGUAGGAGAGUUUGGUAAAUUAAUCACCUGCAUUUGUCCCUUGAAUUCUAUCUAGAAACGCAUUCCUCCCCACCCUGUCAACCCCCAGCUAUCGUAUUGACUCUCUCGGCAUAACUCAGUACUAGCAGGAUAACAUCAGAUCGGCAUCUCUACCCUUCCUCUCUCCUAAGCGCCUGCACCUAUUUACAAUUAUGGUCAGAAUUACCAUUCAGAUCACCCACUGUUCUAAACUCAAUGUGUUUGAGACCAAUCCCUCAUUUGUAAUCCCUCCUCUACCCCCAGAAACCAGCUGCCUACUCCCCUGGGUCCUUUAGCCAUCCUGUUCUAAUCCUCCCCAACAUGGAGUCCUUAAGGCCUGUAACCGGU